UGGUGGGUGGAGUUCUCAGAGUCGGAGGACGGCUGUGUAAGGCAGCUAUGCCUGAAGUCAAGCACCCCGUCAUUCUUUCCAAAAUCUUCACAUAUCUACACUUAUCCGCCACAUAAAUCAACUAACAGGACAUGGUGGAAGAAUCACAUGUUCUCACUUCUCCGUCAAAGGUAUUGUAUCACCAAUUCAAACUCUGCACCAUGAAGAUCAUCUCAGAGUGACCAGAAGGCAAAGAGGCAAGAUUGAGCAUAAGAUGGCAGAUUUGCCACUUGAAGGCUCAUGCCAGACAUCCUGCCAUUUACCAACGUAGACUCGUCUAUGAAAACCAUAAGAAGAUGUAUGUGCAGAAGAGGACAAGUACAACAUGCAACAUCUGAUAUAACAUCUGGCAUAUGUCGCAAGUCACGACUUCACGGGAGAGCCGUUUGAACUGAAAAAAAUGUUUUUAUCAAAAUGCGUUUUUGUUUUGCAGGAAGGCCUUCUCGAACAUGUGAACUUUCAUGUGCCUUAAUAACAAACUUUUAUGCCAUCUGUAAAUACGAAUACAAUUGUGAAAAUUACGAGCGUAGUUGGUUUAGCCAAAGAAAAAGUCAGGAACCUUGAUUGGCUGAGAUAAUGAGUCGACUGGACAUGCCGAGAAAUUAGUUUCAAAUUGGUCUGCGGUGGAGCAUCUUGUAUCUAUAAAAUGAGCUGCUCGAUAUGCGUAGAAAAUCCUUUCUACUGCAUUUUAUUCUAAAGAUAUAACGUUAGCCAUAGAUAACUGCAAAUAUGUUGCUACUGCUUUCAAUAAAAUUGCUGCCCUGAAUUUAUCAGGCGCUAUCGACAAAGGUUAGUGGGAAAAAGUUGCGAUGGACUACUUUCUGGGGGACGAUCAAUGGUGUUGUUGUCAAGGAAGAAGCUGACAAGAGUUUUGAAAUCAUUGGAACGCAAUAGGCCAUAUAAGCUGUCCAAAAUAAACGGAAAUUAGACAGGACGUCUUAUUUAAUAAAAGGGGUUGCAGUCUGUCGUGAAGCUUUCAUCCAUGUAUACAGCAUCAGUAGAACGCGCCUGACUCUCCACCAGUCAUACAAUGAGAAUGGUCUAAUGCCUCCCAUCAAAAAGAGAGCUCGCCCAAGCAAGCAAAGGCAGCAGCGCAGUCAUCAACUACAUGCACAAGCUCCACCACAGUCUUGCCCUUCACUUCCUGAUCACAGCCACACCAAGUUUGUCCCCGAUAGGUGCUUCGGCCUCAUCAAGCAGCGCUUCAAAAAGACCAGAGUGAGCACUUUGUCUGAGACUGCUGGUGUUGUGAAGGACAGCACUGUGACAGGGGUCAACAUCCCACAGCUGGUUGGACUGGAGGAUGGUACGAUGCUGGUGGAAAGAUAUGGCUGGCAACAACACCUGACUCCGUACUUCAGGCCACUGCCACAGAUCAAUCAGUACCAGCACUUCAGAUUGUCACCAAGGAGCGUUCAGACAGUCGGGACCAGAUUUAAGCUGUUGCACAACACUGACAUCCUUCCGCCCAUAGAUGGUCUUCCUGUACAUGCACCACCUGGGCUGGACACAGCUAGACAAACUUGUAUUUUUGAGGCCUCCCGGGUGGCGCAGUGGUUAAGGGCGCUGUACUGCAGCGCCAGCUGGGUUCACGCCCAGGCUCUGUCGUAACCGGAGGCGAUGCACAAUUGGCCUAGCGUCGUCCGGGUUAGGGAGGUUUGGCCGAUAGGGAUAUCCUUGUCUCAUCGCGCACCAGCGGCUCCUGUGGCGGGCCGGGACACAUUGGUGCAGCUGGCUUCCGGGUUGGAUUUCGCGCUGUUUUAAGAAGCAGUGCGGCUUGUGUAUCGGAGGACGCAUGACUUUCAACCUUCGUCUCUCCCGAGCCCGUACCGGAGUUGUAGCGAUGAAACAAGACAGUAGCUACUAAAACAAUUGGAUAUCACGAAAAAGGGGUACAAAUAAAAUAAAAAAUGUAUAUUUUUGAGAAGAUAUGAGAGUUUUGCAACGAAGAGGCUAUGGACAUCACAUGCCCUGUUCCAAAGUCAAGGGCAAGACAGAAACAGGCUCUCUGCUAACACAUACGCCAUGCUACUAUUUUUUUUUAUCCAUCUGCUCAGCCACUUUACCUCGUCUAUCACUGAUAUCGUUCUUGUACAUACUGUAUACUAUUUUAUUUAUAUUGACACUAUUUCUGAUAUUGUUACUAUGCAAGUAGCCAUUUGCCUGUACUGUUUACACCUUCUGUAGAGACCCAUCCACUUAGCAAGACAGAAAAAUAUUGAUAUAUAAAAUUAAUAUUGAUAUGUG
Molecule: long non-coding RNA, 2286 nt
Organism: Oncorhynchus tshawytscha (Chinook salmon)
Lineage: Eukaryota; Metazoa; Chordata; Actinopteri; Salmoniformes; Salmonidae
Exons: 4
Source: RefSeq, a predicted model, not a curated record